This 449-nucleotide ribosomal RNA is filed under the name uncultured bacterium. RNAcentral's name for it is "SSU rRNA". It matches the Rfam family "Bacterial small subunit ribosomal RNA", at positions 26 to 518 of the family's 1533-position model. The record is from RNAcentral.
AGAGCGAACGCUGGCGGCAGGCUUAACACAUGCAAGUCGAGCGGGCGUAGCAAUACGUCAGCGGCAGACGGGUGAGUAACGCGUGGGAACGUACCUUUUGGUUCGGAACAACCCCAGGGAAACUUGGGCUAAUAACCGGAUAAGCCCUUACGGGGAAAGAUUUAUCGCCGAAAGAUCGGCCCGCGUCUGAUUAGCUAGUUGGUGAGGUAAUGGCUCACCAAGGCGACGAUCAGUAGCUGGUCUGAGAGGAUGAUCAGCCACAUUGGGACUGAGACACGGCCCAAACUCCUACGGGAGGCAGCAGUGGGGAAUAUUGGACAAUGGGCGCAAGCCUGAUCCAGCCAUGCCGCGUGAGUGAUGAAGGCCCUAGGGUUGUAAAGCUCUUUGUGCGGGAAGAUAAUGACGGUACCGCAAGAAUAAGCCCCGGCUAACUUCGUGCCAGCAGCCGC